GAGUUUGAUCAUGGCUCAGGAUGAACGCUAGCGGCAGGCUUAACACAUGCAAGUCGAGGGGUAGUUACUUUCGGGUAAUGAGACCGGCGCACGGGUGCGUAACGCGUAUGCAAUCUACCUUUUACAGGGGAAUAGCCCAGAGAAAUUUGGAUUAAUGCCCCAUGGUAUUAUAGAGUGGCAUCACUUUAUAAUUAAAGUUCCAACGGUAAAAGAUGAGCAUGCGUCCCAUUAGUUAGUUGGUAAGGUAACGGCUUACCAAGACGAUGAUGGGUAGGGGUCCUGAGAGGGAGAUCCCCCACACUGGUACUGAGACACGGACCAGACUCCUACGGGAGGCAGCAGUGAGGAAUAUUGGACAAU
Molecule: ribosomal RNA, 360 nt
Filed under: uncultured bacterium
Lineage: Bacteria
Description: bacterial SSU rRNA
Rfam family: Bacterial small subunit ribosomal RNA
Source: RNAcentral